CCUACGGGUGGCAGCAGUGAGGAAUAUUGGUCAAUGGUCGGGAGACUGAACCAGCCAAGCCGCGUGAGGGAUGAAGGUACAGAGUAUCGUAAACCUCUUUUGUAAGGGAACAAAGGCGGGGACGUGUCUCCGGAUGAGUGUACCUGAAGAAAAAGCAUCGGCUAACUCCGUGCCAGCAGCCGCGGUAAUACGGAGGAUGCGAGCGUUAUCCGGAUUUAUUGGGUUUAAAGGGUGCGCAGGCGGUCUGUUAGGUCAGCGGUAAAAGCCCGGGGCUCAACCCCGGACCGCCGUUGAAACUGGCAGUCUUGAGUUGGAGAGAAGUAUGCGGAAUGCGUGGGGUAGCGGUGAAAUGCAUAGAUAUCGCGCAGAACUCCGAUUGCGAAGGCAGCAUGCCGGCUCCACACUGACGCUGAGGCACGAAAGCGUGGGUAUCGAACAGGAUUAGAUACCCCUGUAGUC
RNAcentral lists this ribosomal RNA (459 nucleotides) under uncultured bacterium. Its description in RNAcentral is "partial 16S ribosomal RNA". It matches the Rfam family "Bacterial small subunit ribosomal RNA", at positions 338 to 795 of the family's 1533-position model. The record is from RNAcentral.